This is a long non-coding RNA of Mauremys mutica (yellowpond turtle), 2928 nucleotides long. RefSeq lists it as uncharacterized. The transcript is spliced from 2 exons. Lineage: Eukaryota; Metazoa; Chordata; Testudines; Geoemydidae. The record is from RefSeq and is a predicted model, not a curated record.
AUUUCAAAUUCCAGUUUGUGGACAAAGUCCUGUCUAUCUGAGAAUAUAGAUAGAUCUCCGACCACUGACCAAACUCCAUUCCAAGCAACUACCUAGUUAUGCUUUUUCCCUGCCUUGCAGUCUCUUCUGUUCACUUGCUGGAUCUGCUGGGAUCGUACUGAAACUCUCACCAGAACGGUUGCGCACAUACAAAGUGGAUUUCCACAUUUUCAUCUUAAUCUAACAGCUUCCUUUUAAAGUUGGGAAUGGGGAAGAAGAUGCUGAUCAUCUGUAAUAAACCAGUGAACAUCCCAGCCCAUGGGCGUUAUAGGGGGAGUGCGACGGAGUCUCUCAGGCCUUCUCCGCCCCCUGCUGGAGAUGUUUGCACCCUAACAACACUCCGCUCAAGAUGAACCCACGGACUCAGACUGGGCUACCAACAAAACUUAGUCAUCUAGUGGCCUAGAAGGGCCAGGAGAUGCUGACCAAUCAGGAGCCAGCAGGCCAGUUAAGAAGGCUUGCCUGCUGCCUCUCAGGACAAGCGUGGGGUAAGACCGGGACAGAGGAAGAGCACUCAGUGCUAACCCAAAAUGCCAGGGCCAGGUCAUAUCCUUGUUUUCAAGUGCUGCAACCAAGCAUAUGCCUUUGAUGUUUGUUUGUUGAACAUACAGGCAGCCAAAUUCUGUGUUUGUAAUUGCGUAGGGCCUGACGCUGAAUUGACAGCCCAGACUGCCCUGCUCCGAGCAGGCAGCCACCACUCGUGGGGGAAGGCAGGGAGAGUCUGCAGUACCAGGCUUGGCCCAACAAGGCAUGCUGUGGAGCUGCCACACCUGUGAAAAAGAGCUAGUCCCACGUCACAGGUGCAUUUUCCACUCAGUAAGCGGGGAUUGAAUUCUGCAGCCUUGGGUUGGUUGAAAAGCGAGCAGCUUCCAGUUUACACCGUGUUCCUGUAACUUCUGUGCCCCUCGGGUUGGUGUGAGGAUGUUUUCCCAUGGACCCGGGGAGAAGAGGCCGCUUGUUACUCAAACACAUUCUCCUAAGAAAAUGCCACCUUAUAUGAGGAGAUGCUGUGACUAUACACAUCAUGGUAUGUCACCUUGAAACGAUACAUGUUCAUCUGAAAUGGGAGACCCACUUGGCAGGACUUGUGAUGUCCAAGUAGAGUCCCCGAUUUCCGCUAUGCAGAAAUGGAAUCCUAACAAGUCCCUCCUUGGCUGACCAGGAUCCCUGGUGGUUUGAUACCUUUGUAUUGCUAUUCCUAGCAGUCCCGUCAUUCCCGAGGAGCAGAGACAUCACGGUCACCACAAUUUAGGCCAGGAUCUCACUGCACAGUUCACCCUCAAGAGGCAAAGUGCAUCGCAGAGUAAUCAGGGACUUCUUUGCCUACACUGCAGCUGCCAGUGAAUCGCCAAGCCUGGACAGACAGACUUGCACUAGUGGGGCUUGAGAUAGCAGGCUAAAAAUAGCUGUGUGCGGCAGAGACUUGGGCUAAAGACCAGAGCUCGAGCCUAGGGGAUCUGGUGCCUAGCUCGAGUCACUGUCAGAGUGGUAGCGGCCGCACAGCAAUUCUUAGCAUGCUAGCUCGAACCCUGCUAGCAUGAGUCUGUCUUCGUGGGCUGGCUCACGCCCAGCUGCAGUGUAGACAUACCUUUGCAGGCCUGAGAUAGGAUCAAUAACACGGGGGUGAAUUCUCUGAGGUCCUAAACCUAUUUUUCAGUCACUUUACAUAAGGGAGAAUGCCUUAGUCCCAGGUACUCCAGACGAGUAGGAAAUGCAGAGUCCUUCUGGCUGGUGGCAGGGGGACCUCCGGGGGACAGACAAUUCCAUACAGGUUCCAGGCAGUAGCCUAGUGACUGGGAUAACAGGGCUGUGGCACUAGAUUCAGGCCCUGCCCCAGGGACUUCAGGGUAACAGAGAAUUCAGUGCUGGCUGCCAGCAGUUCUGGUCACCCAGAAACAGCUGGCAAAAUAGAAAGGGCAGAUGUGGGCUGAGGAGAAAUGUUGGUUUGGGAGAGUCUUAAACCAGAACAGUGCCAUGAUAGUUAAACAUGAGGUACCUGAGAGGCAGACCCCCACUGCCUAGCCCUGAAGGAUCCCUUACUGCGCUGACCCCGAGGGAUGUUUUCCCAAAGCCACUGCCCAGGAGCUUUCUCGGUGCUCUCCUGUUCUCUCUGGUGGGGGUUUCAGAGCAGUCCGACAUGUGGACUGCAGAUGUGGGGGAGGGUCAUUAGCACAGCUCUGCUGAAUUCAUCUGGAUGAACUUUCACAACACCUGCUAGGAAAAUACCAUUCUUUCCCCGCUCGGCUGACUGUAAAGUUAAAGACCUAGUACCAGUACCUGGCGUCUCCUGGAGCAAGUUAUAGCUGCUGCCAUUCAUUUUCCAGAGGAUCCGUUGGGCCCCAGGAAGAAGCUAGAGAAGUCUCACCCCCAGACAGGGAUUUCUACCCAGCAAGCACCACAAGGGCUGUGAACAAGGAGCCAUGUUCAGCGCAAGUAACCGGGAGGCCAGCCGGAGUGUGGGCUGCAGGGAUAAGCUAAUCUCUUAAUGCUGGUCACAAUGAGAUUUGACUGGAAGCAGGAGUUCAUGCAAUGGAGUUACAGCUUUUAUAGAGUACUGACAAAUGCUCCAACGUGAAUUAUAAGGUGGCCCGAGCUCUGCACCCUGCAACCAUGCCCCUAGGGGUGCCCUGUGCCUUCUGGGCCACCUUUUCAAAGUCUCCUAACCCUGGCCUCUGAUCUGGCACCCACGUAUCUGCACCCACGCAGCUGCAGCUUUUGGGGGUGCACAACCAUGUGUGCAAAUGCAGAGGCUGCUUAUGAAAACAUGCCACACUGCGUUUAGCAAAAUGACUCGGUGUGAGUCCGUCUCUGCAAGGUAUGGGGGAAGCGAAAGGCCUUUAUUAGAAAAUAUGUCUGUACAAACAUCCAUAAUAAAAUACCUUGAUACAA